UCCGGUUUGUCACCGGCAGUCUCUCUAGAGCGGCAUGGUGUAUGUCAAACCCAGGUAAGGUUCUUCGCGUUGCAUCGAAUUAAUCCGCAUGCUCCGCCGCUUGUGCGGGCCCCCGUCAAUUCCUUUGAGUUUUAGCCUUGCGGCCGUACUCCCCAGGCGGGGCGCUUAAUGCGUUAGCUACGGCACGGAACCCGUGGAAACAGAUCCCACACCUAGCGCCCAACGUUUACGGUGUGGACUAC
Molecule: unclassified non-coding RNA, 242 nt
Filed under: uncultured Nocardioidaceae bacterium
Lineage: Bacteria; Bacillati; Actinomycetota; Actinomycetes; Propionibacteriales; Nocardioidaceae
Description: contains 16S-23S intergenic spacer region
Source: RNAcentral